Molecule: small nuclear RNA, 61 nt
Filed under: Propithecus coquereli (Coquerel's sifaka)
Lineage: Eukaryota; Metazoa; Chordata; Mammalia; Primates; Indriidae
Description: U7 small nuclear RNA (ENSPCOG00000011719.1)
Rfam family: U7 small nuclear RNA
About the family: Animal histone pre-mRNAs are spliced by a different mechanism than nuclear pre-mRNAs and self-splicing introns. This processing involves the U7 snRNP, which contains only one RNA species: U7.
Source: Rfam by way of RNAcentral
AAGUGUACAGUUCUUUUAGAAUUUGUCUAGCAGGUUUUCUGGGUUUUACCAGAAAACACAC